RNAcentral lists this ribosomal RNA (497 nucleotides) under uncultured bacterium. Its description in RNAcentral is "partial 16S ribosomal RNA". It matches the Rfam family "Bacterial small subunit ribosomal RNA", at positions 28 to 507 of the family's 1533-position model. The record is from RNAcentral.
GACGAACGCUGGCGGCGUGCCUAAUACAUGCAAGUUGAGCGCUGAAGGUUGGUACUUGUACCAACUGGAUGAGCAGCGAACGGGUGAGUAACGCGUGGGGAAUCUGCCUUUGAGCGGGGGACAACAUUUGGAAACGAAUGCUAAUACCGCAUAAAAACUUUAAACACAAGUUUUAAGUUUGAAAGAUGCAAUUGCAUCACUCAAAGAUGAUCCCGCGUUGUAUUAGCUAGUUGGUGAGGUAAAGGCUCACCAAGGCGAUGAUACAUAGCCGACCUGAGAGGGUGAUCGGCCACAUUCGGACUGAGACACAGCCCAAACUCCUACGAGAGGCAGCAGUAGGGAAUCUUCGGCCAUGGACGGAAGUCUGACCGAGCAACGCCGCGUGGGUGAAGAAGGUUUUCGGAUCGUAAAACUCUGUUGGUAGAGAAGAACGUUGGUGAGAGUGGAAAGCUCAUCAAGUGACGGUAACUACCCAGAAAGGGACGGCUAACUACGUG